UUUGAUUUGUAUACACUAUAUAUACAGUUAUGCUAAGUUGCUAACUAUGGAGAAAUGUAUCUGGAUAAAGAACACUGCAGCAUAUAUGAAACUACACAGUGACAGCCGGAGUUGAAAGCUCAGGCAACCCACUUUGGCCAUUCAGUACAAUCACCUUCCCCUCCGAAUCCACAUCGACAAUGGCGGAAUCGCCCUCCUUCACCUCCCCAGCUAGCAUCUUCUCCGCGAGG
Molecule: unclassified non-coding RNA, 230 nt
Filed under: Hevea brasiliensis (rubber tree)
Lineage: Eukaryota; Viridiplantae; Streptophyta; Magnoliopsida; Malpighiales; Euphorbiaceae
Source: RNAcentral